Asparagus officinalis (garden asparagus) is the source of this 424-nucleotide long non-coding RNA. RefSeq lists it as uncharacterized. The record is from RefSeq and is a predicted model, not a curated record. Lineage: Eukaryota; Viridiplantae; Streptophyta; Magnoliopsida; Asparagales; Asparagaceae. The transcript is spliced from 3 exons.
CCUUCUUUCAACUUCGGUCUUCUUCUUCCUUGAGCUCUGACCCUUCAAGAGUUCUUCUUCCUCAAGUUCUAGCUCUUCAAGAAUUCUUCUUCCUCAAGAAUUCCAAACGAAAUUAGCUUCCUCCCUUUAAAUUCCCAAUCUCCUCCUUCCCCUCCUCUUCUAAUUCGGAUUCGAGCAAACGAGGAAGAUUCAAGGCUAGGAUUUCGUCUUUCUUCUUACCCCUUCAAGCUUCAAGAACUUGGAUUAGCCAUGUCGACGAGGAGAUCGCGCCUCCCGGGGACCCGCUUAGCUACUCAAUCGCCUAAGAGGGAGCGUCCAUCUUUUACUGAUAUAAUUAUUGCAUACAUGCAUAUUUUUUCAUCAAGACGAUCCUAGAGGGAAGGGAGACAAUAAAUAUUGAAGCCUUACAAAGGGAGUUAUUCGA